GGGGUCGACCUGGUUUCGACAGGGGUUACAAAGCAGUCAGUGCAUACCGAGGCCAGAUCACCUCGUAAAUACAGUCUGAAAAUAUAUAACUGCAAACGAUAACUCGUACGCAUUAGCCGCUUAAAUCCGGCUUUCCUUACACCGUUUUGUCCCUAGGGCGGGCUGGCAACAGCAGUAAGGUUAUUCAUAGGGAAUCGUCACACAUUGGGUUACUUAGUGCGUGCUUAAAUUUAAGGUAACUAGCCUUGCCGCAGCGUGUUUGUCCGCGUCGUCGAGGUUAAAUCAAAAGACAAAACUAAGUAUGUAGAUCUGCCUGUAGAGGGCUUCUGGACGCGGGUUCAAUUCCCGCCGACUCCACCA
This 360-nucleotide transfer-messenger RNA is filed under the name Affinundibacterium cyanobacteriorum. Its description in RNAcentral is "Undibacterium sp. 20NA77.5 transfer-messenger RNA". It matches the Rfam family "transfer-messenger RNA". From Rfam's summary of the family: Bacterial tmRNA, also known as 10Sa RNA or SsrA, is named for its dual tRNA and mRNA-like properties. Its role is to liberate the mRNA from a stalled ribosome. The record is from RNAcentral. Lineage: Bacteria; Pseudomonadati; Pseudomonadota; Betaproteobacteria; Burkholderiales; Oxalobacteraceae.